RNAcentral lists this ribosomal RNA (468 nucleotides) under uncultured bacterium. RNAcentral's name for it is "bacterial SSU rRNA". It matches the Rfam family "Bacterial small subunit ribosomal RNA", at positions 28 to 516 of the family's 1533-position model. The record is from RNAcentral.
GACGAACGCUGGCGGCGUGCUUAACACAUGCAAGUCGAACGGUCGUAGCAAUACGGCAGUGGCGGACGGGUGAGUAACACGUGAGCAAUCUGCCUCAUACAGGGGGAUAACACUGAGAAAUCAGUGCUAAUACCGCAUAAGACCACAGGUCCGCAUGGACUAGGGGUAAAAGGUUAAUUCUGGUAUGAGAUGAGCUCGCGUCCCAUUAGGUAGUUGGUGAGGUAACGGCCCACCAAGCCUGCGAUGGGUAGCCGACCUGAGAGGGUGAACGGCCACACUGGAACUGAGAUACGGUCCAGACUCCUACGGGAGGCAGCAGUGGGGAAUAUUGGGCAAUGGAGGCAACUCUGACCCAGCAACGCCGCGUGAGUGAAGAAGGUCUUCGGAUUGUAAAGCUCUGUGGAUAGGGAUGAAAAAAUAGACAGUACCUAUAAAGACAAGCCACGGCAAACUAACGUGCCAGCAGCC